CUCCGCAAGAUGUUUUAACAUUAGAUAAUAGAACGGUUGUCGCUCUUUCCAUUUUACCUAAUUUAAACUGAUGUGAAUAUUUAUAUGAACAGAACCUCUCUAACAACCUGCGAGAAGAAUCACUUGUAAAAUUAAGCAUUUUUUUCCAGAUCGCAAUUAGUCUUUGCAUGUUGCAUUAAACAGCAGUGCUAGAUAUUCAUUGUUCACAUUUCUAUAAAUUCUAAGAAUUAAACAAAACAUAAAAUGCACCUAAAAUGUUUACGAUGCCAAACAAUGAAACGAGAAAAGGAAUACUUGAUUGCUGAUCUAAGUGCCUUCUUCCUUGAGCGUUACAGAAAACAUUUUUAUGGAUAAAUUUGGAUCUUAAUGAUUCUUAAUUAUAUUACAAAUCUACUUUCCUGUAUCAUUUAAAGUGCGCAAAUUGUUAAAUUAAUUUACCAUGAAUUUCAAAUACGUUUCUCGCUGAUUGCUAAGUUCUCGCUUGCUAGUAUCAGUGUUACUUUUGCCAUUCUGAAAGAUGGUGAUUUUAAUCUGUAAUUUUUUAUCCAAGCAUUUUGUUCCAUCUCUAGCAGAGACAAACUUUUGAUGCCCGAAGUUGCAAUCCUGUUCCAAGGGGGAACUUCACACAGGGUGAAAGCAUCCAAGAAAGAGGUUCUCGCUUUACUUAAGUAGGUUAUUGUUAGCACUGUAGUAUUCGAUUUGUCAUGGGGAAAGGAAAAGCAUUCCAGGAGAAAUUCAUAGACACAGGCAUUUUCGAUGCUUGGGUAAAAGAGAUUAUGCCCUCUCUGUAUGUGAAAGAGAGUGUUUUCUGAGAGUGCAAGUAAUGUAAUUUUUGAACUGAAAUCAACAUCUGAAAUUUCCAAAGAGCAGAAGUCAUUUCCUGGUCGUUACCCAUGCCCUAUGUGUUCAUAUACUGCAGACUAUCUUAGCCGCCUUAAAAGACAUCUUGUGACUCAUACUGGGGAAAAGCUUCAAAAUAAGGGAUAUUUUGGUUUGGCGUUCGUGCAGACCUGCUUAUAAGACGCUACUGCAGUCUAGUAUCACAUUUUAUCAACUCCCAGUUGAUAUGCCUAUCAGUUAAGUAAUGACUGACAGUGAAACUUGUGCUCUCCCAGAUCCUGCUAAUUCUUGCCGCCUGAUUACCAUUUUCAGUUAGGGAUUGACUUCGGUUUUUGUAUUCUUCAAAUGAAAAUAGUACAUUUUUUAGUAUAUAUGUAGAUUCUGAAGCCCCUUUUAGUAGGCAGCAUUUUUCAGAAACUAAUACUUCAAUUUCCAAACACGGUCGUUAUCAGUGUCCUAAUUGUUCUUAUUCGGCACCAUAUCAUAGUCUUCUUAAAAGGCAUAUUGUAACUCAUACUGGUGAGCAACCUUUCAAGUGUUCCAGCUGUAAUAGAGGUUUUACACAAAAGGAGAGCCUUAAGAGACAUUUUAUCUCUUUUCAUACUGGUAUGAAUUCAUAUGAGUGUAAAAUAUGCUCUGCA
This 1481-nucleotide unclassified non-coding RNA is filed under the name Stegodyphus dumicola. RNAcentral's name for it is "transcriptional repressor CTCF-like, transcript variant X7". Lineage: Eukaryota; Metazoa; Arthropoda; Arachnida; Araneae; Eresidae. The record is from RNAcentral.